CCUAUCCAGACCUGCUGCCUCCUCAAAGGAAGAGAGAGAGAAAAUACAUGAGUGGAAAACUAAAUGACAGGACAUCGUGACCGUCUGGCCAUUGUUCAACGCUGUGGCGGCGGGUCAUGGGUUCAGAUCCCCAUUCUGCAGACGAUGUGUUGUUUCGUGGUUCUGUGGCGCCGGAGUCACGUGCAGGACACUCGAAACCAAAUCAAAUGGAAUCAAAUGUUUUUGUCCUGUAAAUUCCUUGUGUCCAGCUAUCGCUGAGCUUUACAUUCAUUACCACCCAUUAGAGUGGAAGAACAGUGGGCUGAAAGGAGACAAUAAUUAGUAGCGGUAUUCAUCCCAUACAAACGAGGGCCCCAACGGAAACUAUUGACCGUCAUCCGACCAAUUAAAAUCCUUGGAAAACUUGGCAGGUAGAGACGCUCCAUGAAUCCCUGUCAACAACAACAACAACAAACCAAGACAAAAAUAAAUGUGUGUGACAUGA
Gadus macrocephalus (Pacific cod) is the source of this 484-nucleotide long non-coding RNA. RefSeq lists it as uncharacterized. Lineage: Eukaryota; Metazoa; Chordata; Actinopteri; Gadiformes; Gadidae. The record is from RefSeq and is a predicted model, not a curated record. The transcript has 2 exons.